GUCCGUCUGCUUUACAGCGAACCGUCGGCGGGUGGCGCUGUGCAAACCCGGGGCUGCACUGAUACCGGAUGAUGGAGUUGACGCGGUAUUCGUCCCUCUUCUUACCAAACAUGUGGGCAUUCUUCACCUCUGGCGGGGCGCCACAGGACACUGAGGACAGAACCAGAGGUAAACGGCAGGCGGUAGAUGCAGGGCACGUCGUUCCACUGGCCUUUCUCGUGCCAGAUCAUCGCCACACAGUCUUCUCCAGAGCUGACGUAAUUAUCCGGCUGGUUCAGCCUCCAGUUCUCGUAUUGCUGAAGCAGAGGAGGAAGUGUACAGAUGCUUUUACUACAAGGACCGCAAACGGGACAAUUAUCAAAAGGGAGAGCGGACGAGAAAUCACCGAUGUGUGUUCAAGACGAUGAACAGUUGAGGUAACGGUAACAGUAACGUUACGUGUGUGUUAUCCCAGGAGUAACAUUAAAACCAGAUCAAACUCAUUUUAGUGUUGAACGUUAGUCCAUUGUAGUCCAUUGUGUCAGCUUCAUUUCUUCACCCAACGUAAUCAGCUCAUCACAUAGUCUGUUUAUUUAAACUGUAUGGUAUUGUUGUAUUAGCUUUUUGUAAAGACUUGCACUGAUAUGUUAACGUGUGUGAGGCACAUGCAAACCCACAGUUGCACACCCAAAGCUUCAUUUAAGUGUUUUUAUCCUGGAUGUCAUAGAACUUUCCAGAAGUUCAGA
Anarrhichthys ocellatus (wolf-eel) is the source of this 725-nucleotide long non-coding RNA. RefSeq lists it as uncharacterized. Lineage: Eukaryota; Metazoa; Chordata; Actinopteri; Perciformes; Anarhichadidae. The record is from RefSeq and is a predicted model, not a curated record. The transcript has 3 exons.